This 254-nucleotide ribosomal RNA is filed under the name uncultured bacterium. RNAcentral describes it as "partial 16S ribosomal RNA". It matches the Rfam family "Bacterial small subunit ribosomal RNA", at positions 524 to 776 of the family's 1533-position model. The record is from RNAcentral.
UACGUAGGGGGGCAAGCGUUGUCCGGAUUUAUUGGGCGUAAAGAGCGUGUAGGCGGUUAUGCAGGUCCGCUGUGAAAACUGGAGGCUUAACCUCCAGACGUCGGUGGAAACCGUAUGACUAGAGUCCGGAAGAGGAGAGUGGAAUUCCUGGUGUAGCGGUGGAAUGCGCAGAUAUCAGGAAGAACACCCGUGGCGAAGGCGGCUCUCUGGAACGCAACUGACGCUGAGACGCGAAAGCGUGGGGAGCAAACAGG